UGACAAGACUCGCUACACGUCCGUUUCCAGUAAGAGUCUGGGGAACUCCCCUGACAACAUGCAGCAGUAUGUUUUCAUGUACAGGUCGCGCACGGUGAACGUGACGGGGCUGUACCAGUAUAAAGGGCACCCCUUCGUCAGACCGCCGUUCGUCGUCCAGUUCCAAAGCAUCAAAACUGAAAUCAACAAGUUCAUUUUGGUUCCACUGCACAGCGACGAAGGUCAGGUCAUCCAGGAGGUCGACUGGCUCUUUGACGUCUUUGAGACCGUC
Molecule: long non-coding RNA, 271 nt
Organism: Nematolebias whitei (Rio pearlfish)
Lineage: Eukaryota; Metazoa; Chordata; Actinopteri; Cyprinodontiformes; Rivulidae
Exons: 3
Source: RefSeq, a predicted model, not a curated record